This 220-nucleotide ribosomal RNA is filed under the name uncultured Latescibacterota bacterium. RNAcentral describes it as "uncultured Latescibacteria bacterium partial 16S ribosomal RNA". It matches the Rfam family "Bacterial small subunit ribosomal RNA", at positions 1163 to 1382 of the family's 1533-position model. Lineage: Bacteria; Pseudomonadati; Candidatus Latescibacterota. The record is from RNAcentral.
CCGGAGGAAGGCGGGGAUGACGUCAAGUCCUCAUGGCCCUUACAUCCCGGGCUACACACGUGCUACAAUGGCAGGUACAGAGGGCUGCGAAGCCGCGAGGUGGAGCGAAUCCCAGAAAACCUGUCUCAGUCCGGAUUGAAGUCUGCAACUCGACUUCAUGAAGGCGGAAUCGCUAGUAACCGCGAAUCAGCAGGUCGCGGUGAAUACGUUCCCGGGCCUU